Thalassophryne amazonica is the source of this 243-nucleotide long non-coding RNA. RefSeq lists it as uncharacterized. The record is from RefSeq and is a predicted model, not a curated record. Lineage: Eukaryota; Metazoa; Chordata; Actinopteri; Batrachoidiformes; Batrachoididae. The transcript has 3 exons.
AGUGGUAAUAGGAGUGGACUUCAAUGGGCAUGUUGGUGAAGGGAACAGAGGUGAUGAGGAAGUAAUGGGUAGAUAUGAUAUCAAGGACAGGAAUGUGGAAGGACAGAUGGUAGGUGAUUUUGCAAAAUGAAUGGAAAUGGCUGUAGUGAAUACAUACUUUAAGAAAACGGAGGCGCACAGGGUGACAUAAGAGUGGAGGAAGGUGCACACAGAUGGACUACAUUCUUUACAUAGUAUAUGCAA